Long non-coding RNA from Colossoma macropomum (tambaqui), 494 nucleotides. RefSeq lists it as uncharacterized. The record is from RefSeq and is a predicted model, not a curated record. NCBI's taxonomy places the organism in Eukaryota, Metazoa, Chordata, Actinopteri, Characiformes, Serrasalmidae. The transcript has 4 exons.
ACAGUCCGAGUGAGUGGAGCAGCGGCCGCACACGAGCGCGCAGACUCCGGACUGAACCGUCCAGCGGACACACGUGAGAAACCUGAGAAGAAAUGCUGAGCUCUUCGCAGAUGGUCCUGCUCGCCGGCUUCUGGAUCGCCGCGGCUGAAGUGAUUCGUGUUGAGGAAGUUGACAAUGCAACUCAUGCUGAAGAGUAUCGAUGCAUUGGCGGUGGUGACGUUGCAGCCACUAAAUACACCUGGCACAGGGUGUGUCAGGCUCCAGCCCUCAUGGGCCAAAACACUGCAGACUUCAGCACACAGCAUCAUUAAAUGCACCUGAUUGAGCUCAUUAGCUAAUUGGCAAGGCCUUCAUGAUCUUGAGAAAGAGAGCUUCCUAAGUUGGAUGUUACCUAAAGCAGUUUUGUGACUGUGGACUCUGCCCAUCUCUUCAUUGCUGAUCUUCAGGGAUGAAUAGACGUGCUCAUGGGCCCCACACCUAUUUUGUUUUUCUGU